RNAcentral lists this ribosomal RNA (458 nucleotides) under uncultured bacterium. RNAcentral describes it as "partial 16S ribosomal RNA". It matches the Rfam family "Bacterial small subunit ribosomal RNA", at positions 338 to 795 of the family's 1533-position model. The record is from RNAcentral.
CCUACGGGAGGCAGCAGUGGGGAAUAUUGCACAAUGGGGGAAACCCUGAUGCAGCGACGCCGCGUGAGUGAAGAAGUAAUUCGUUACGUAAAGCUCUAUCAGCAGGGAAGAAACACUGACCUUACGGUCAGCAGACGGUACCUGAGUAAGAAGCCCCGGCCAACUACGUGCCAGCAGCCGCGGGAAUACGGAGGGGGCAAGCGUUAUCCGGAUUUACUGGGUGUAAAGGGAGCGUAGACGGUGCGCCAAGGCUGGAGUGAAGUGGCGCAGCUUAACUGCGGAACUGCUUUGGAAACUGGCGGACUAGAGUGCGGGAGGGGUAGGCGGAAUUCGUAGUGUAGCGGUGAAAUGCGUAGAUAUUAGGAGGAACACCGGUGGCGAAGGCGGCUUACUGGACCGUAACUGACGUUGAGGCUCGAGAGCGUGGGGAGCAAACAGGAUUAGAUACCCCGGUAGUC